Molecule: long non-coding RNA, 247 nt
Organism: Onthophagus taurus
Lineage: Eukaryota; Metazoa; Arthropoda; Insecta; Coleoptera; Scarabaeidae
Source: RefSeq, a predicted model, not a curated record
CUCGAUGCCAAAUUGAAGUAUGGAAUUAAAGUGGCUGAAGUAGGCGGUUCUAGCAGCUUCAUGCGUUGAGACAAUCCUUAUUCUUCUGAUGAGGUGGGAAUCUAUGUUAAGACCAAGGAAUUUAAUCGUAUAUCCCGUAUCUGGCUCUCUAUUGAUGUCACCAACAGCGAAGUAUCAUCAGCGAAAAGGCACGUCAAAUCAGCCGUCAAGUUUUGUGGUAAGUCAUUGAUCUAGAUCAGGAACAAAA